CUGGCUCAGAAUGAACGUUGGCGGCGUGGAUUAGGCAUGCAAGUCGAACGAAUCCCCGCAAGGGGGGAAGUGGCGAAAGGGGCAGUAAGGCGUAGACAACCUGCCCCGGGCACUGGGAUAGCCCAUCUAACGAUGGGGUAAUACCAGAUACGCUCCGGCAGAGGCAUCUCGGUCGGAGGAAAGCUGCGGCGGCCCGGGAGGGGUUUACGUGAUAUUAGCUAGUUGGUGGGGUAACGGCCUACCAAGGCCAAGAUGUCUAGCAGGUGUGAGAGCACGACCUGCGCCACUGGCACUGGGACACUGGCCAGACUCCUACGGGAGGCUGCAGUCGAGAAUCUUCGGCAAUGAGCGCAAGCUUGACCGAGCGACGCCGCGUGAGCGAUGAAGGGC
This 390-nucleotide ribosomal RNA is filed under the name uncultured Gemmataceae bacterium. RNAcentral describes it as "partial 16S ribosomal RNA". It matches the Rfam family "Bacterial small subunit ribosomal RNA", at positions 19 to 416 of the family's 1533-position model. Lineage: Bacteria; Pseudomonadati; Planctomycetota; Planctomycetia; Gemmatales; Gemmataceae. The record is from RNAcentral.